Long non-coding RNA from Oreochromis aureus, 204 nucleotides. RefSeq lists it as uncharacterized. NCBI's taxonomy places the organism in Eukaryota, Metazoa, Chordata, Actinopteri, Cichliformes, Cichlidae. The record is from RefSeq and is a predicted model, not a curated record. The transcript has 3 exons.
CGGCCAACAGUCAGUGGAGAUGACCAUGGAGGUCUUAAAGAAGAUGAAGAGGACUGAUCUGGCUCAGAGGCUGUCAGACUGCAGCUCACUGCCUCGAAAGAAACACUCUGUGGAUGAACGACGCUCUGCACUGAUCCACAAAGCGGCAACAAUUGCAGCUGUUAAACAUCUGCUUUUAGAAACUUUGAAUGAUUUGAGUGAUGA